RNAcentral lists this ribosomal RNA (490 nucleotides) under uncultured bacterium. RNAcentral describes it as "partial 16S ribosomal RNA". It matches the Rfam family "Bacterial small subunit ribosomal RNA", at positions 30 to 507 of the family's 1533-position model. The record is from RNAcentral.
AUUGAACGCUGGCGGCAGGCCUAACACAUGCAAGUCGAACGGUAACAGGAAGCAGCUUGCUGCUUCGCUGACGAGUGGCGGACGGGUGAGUAAUGUCUGGGAAGCUGCCUGAUGGAGGGGGAUAACUACUGGAAACGGUAGCUAAUACCGCAUAAUGUCGCAAGACCAAAGAGGGGGACCUUCGGGCCUCUUGCCAUCGGAUGUGCCCAGAUGGGAUUAGCUUGUUGGUGGGGUAACGGCUCACCAAGGCGACGAUCCCUAGCUGGUCUGAGAGGAUGACCAGCCACACUGGGACUGAGACACGGUCCAGACUCCUACGGGAGGCAGCAGUGGGGAAUAUUGCACAAUGGGCGCAAGCCUGAUGCAGCCAUGCCGCGUGUAUGAAGAAGGCCUUCGGGUCGUAAAGUACUUUCAGCGGGGAGGAAGGGAGUAAAGUUAAUACCUUUGCUCAUUGACGUUACCCGCAGAAGAAGCACCGGCUAACUCCGUG